UGCUAUCAAAAAAAAAAGUUCUAAUGGCGCACCCGCCAUUGCUAACCGGCAGUGCCUCUCUCCCGUGCCCACUCUCUCUCCCAUGCCCACUCUCUCUCUCUCGUGCCCACUCUCUCUCUCUCUCUCCACCCCCACCCCCUCCCCCGUGCCGUUGGCCGGCCGCAUCCCCGCCGCGCGGCCUCGCCCCCCACCCGCCGACGGAUCUCCGGAUCUGUGCGGUCUCGCCCCCCACCCGCCUGGAUCCGCACCGAGGCGCGGGUGCUGCCUCCAUAGGAAGGAAUUCAGUUCUCCCCCUCACAGGCGGCGUCCUCGACGGUCAGCGGCGGCGACCCGGCACGGGAGUCCUUUCGCCGAUCUUGAGUCUUGCCACAGGCCGCUCUCGUCGAAGGGGGCCUGGUCGAGGAAUGCACCGUACACCAUCGUACACCGUCAUACAAGUGCAGAACGAGCUGAAGCAGAACAGGGCUUCCGACGGCCAUGUGAUUGCCGCUCCGGAGAAGGAGGCCCUUGCUGCCGGUUGCCGCAAGGAGCUCGCGGGCUUGUGGGCGUACUUCAAGGAGGUUUCUGGCCACAAGAUGCAGAUCGAUGGUGGUGGAAACCUGUCAAGCAAUGCCAUGAUUGGGUGCUUGCUGGAGGAGAGCAAUCUUGGGCUAUCCAAGUUGGUGGAUGAGACAUUUCAAAAGCUCAAAGGAACAGAGGGUGUCUCUGUUGCUUCGGUCCGCAGCUCAGUCCUGCUCAUUGGACAGAGGAUGAUGUACGGACAAUCUAGCCCCGAUGCUGAUGUGUUGGAAGAUGAAUCGGAUCUUUCUCUUUGGUGCUCGGAGGUAAGAGAUUUGAAGGUACUGCCUAUGAGAACGCGUGGGUUUUUAAGUGUGCGGAGAACUGCUAGAAAGAAAAUCCAUGAGAGGAUCACUGCUCUCCAUUAAACAAUAGAAGCAAUAUGCCUACGUCGACUCCCUCAAGCUCGCCGGCAACGGCAAGGAGGUCUGGGUCUACGACAUCGACGAGACCACCCUCUCCAACCUCCCCUACUACGCCAAGCACGGCUUCGGGUACAUCCGAUCGAGCAGCGACUUGCACUCAUCCGAUCGUCACUAGAAGCCGCAUUGAUAAACACUAGAUAUAUCUUAAAUGGUUCCUGUGGAUAUUGUUGUCAUGAGUUAUGUGUGGUGUGCCAUCGUAGAGAUUAUUGUGUGUUUCUUGAAGGUCUGUCGGGCGCCAAGAAUUUGGAGUUGAUAGCUGACUACGUUAUGGUAUGCUUGCACUCUUUUCUAGUGGAUAUGCUCGUUGUUUUGCUAACACUGUUUGUUGUUUUCUGUUCACCCUGGUAUUAUUAAAUCAUACACUUGAAGUUAGAGCUUCAAUUGUCUUUUAGUUCUUCACCUCGUCCAGGUUUACAGAAUGGAUAUAAAAUGGUACCCUACGUUUAGCAAGAUAAAAACAUUGUUGCUCGAUCACUGGUGUAUGGCUGAUGACUUUUAUGGACUCAUUUAGUUUCUCAAGAACUCACCCAUUCUAGAGAGAUUUACCCUUGAACUUUAUAAACCAUUUGAGCAUGCGUAUGGCAUCAUGAGUGGAACCUACCCGCCAAAGGACCAAGUUUUGGUAUCAAAACAUUUCAAGGCAUUCGAAAUCAAUCAUGUAAAAGAUGAUAAAUGGAUUCACCUAUUAUUGAAGGUCCUUGCUUCCCAUGGAGUACAUUCGGAACUAAUAAAAUUUGUAGAGAAGUACCAUUCUUAACGUGUAGAAUGAUCAGAGACUGCUGCACUGGGAGCUGAUAUAGUUAUUAUGACAAUAAGUGCAGUUGAUGGGUGGACUGAAGAUGACACUAAACUUAUCUAACAUGUCAUGUUUGAUAAGGUACCAUCAGUUUCAUUUUCACAACAAUUUUGUUGAUGAUGUCUGGUUGCUUGGUUGUUGGUUUGCAUGCCUUCUCUUUGAGCAACAUAUUCAGCAAAUUCUGCAUUGGAAAAUGAUGUCUUUCAGAAUCAUGCUGGUCCUCGGUCAUUUCCGACACUUUUGACCUUUGAGCAGCAUAUGAAGUGGCAUAGAACGAUCUGAACAAGCCUGGUAGGUAUCCAAAGAACAAGCAAUGAAAUUGAACCCAUUUUCUGGAUGGGGUCAAAGAUCUAUAGGCUGGGAUUACUGUUGUCACUGCCCUAUAGAUUUGGGUUGUAUCGUUGUGUAUUAUAUUUGCUAUGGAUCUAUGUAUGUAUGGAUGCUAUGGAACUAUAUGUAUAUAUGGAUGCUAUGGAA
This is an RNA transcript of Hordeum vulgare subsp. vulgare (domesticated barley), 2256 nucleotides long. It is a transcript of the gene named chromatin assembly factor 1 subunit FSM-like, with no coding region annotated. The record is from RefSeq and is a predicted model, not a curated record. Lineage: Eukaryota; Viridiplantae; Streptophyta; Magnoliopsida; Poales; Poaceae. The transcript is spliced from 7 exons.